GUCUGACAAUUUAUUUUGCAGGGAGAAGGGAGCCAGAAGGGUCUAAUAUAUGCCCAGACCAAGAGAAUUUUGGUGAGACAUUAUCUUUCUUCCCAGCAGGGAAUGAUUUAUUUACCUGAUAUGUCAGUUAGGAUGCUUUCAGCUGCAAAUAACAGAACUUUCAGCUCGACUGCCUUAAACAACAAGGGAAUUUAUGGGUUCAGUUCUUGAAAAGUCUAGUAACUCAAACGAUAUGACCAAGACCUAGUGUCUCACUUCACCCGUUUUUUGGCUUCACUUUCCUGGUGUUGGAUUCAUUCUUGGCAGGCUGCCUCCCUUGUGAUCCUGACAUAGCAGACAGCCGUUCCCAGGGUGAUCUGCUUUUUGGUUCAUGUAAAUUAAGAAGAGUAACUCUUUUCUCGAGCGAAUCAACAAACAUUCUGGAGUUUCAAACGAAUUGGAACAAUUAAGUCACAUGUUUAUUUCGGAACCACUCACUCUAAAAGCGGGGUGAGUUUUGCUGCUAUCUUAGACCUGACUCAUAUGCUCGACUCCAGAAUUAAGGGGAGUAACUGGCUUUUCUCACAGCACAUGGGAUUCAGGAGGAGGCCAGAUAUCCCACACCAAAUUUGGGAAGUAGGGGAGUGGAUAUUGGGUAGCAGGAACCCAGUGCACCUUAAUAGAAAGAAGCAUUUCCAAAUCCAAACGCAAACUUAACUAAUUCCUUAAUCAAAAAUCAGAAACUGGAUGUGCACCUUUCACCCUCAUCCUCUGGCUGUGAGGUGGUCCUAGUUAAAGAGGAGGUAAUGUCGAUUGUGAGGGGUGCACACCGGGAGAGGUUCCAUUUGGAAGCAGGGAGCUGGGCGGGGAAGGCCAUUGGUAUCCUGGCAACUGUGUACUCAAGGUGUCAGCGUCUUGGGAUCUUGUUCAUGGAUGUGAAAAGAGGCAGGGAAAAUGUCCACGGGGAUGGAGGGAAUGCCAGGUCCAACUUGCUUCAGGUGAAACUAUGCUGAUGGCGUCUUUUCCUCCUGCCCUGCUCUUGGGCCUCUGCUUAGGUCACCUGACGUGGAUGGUUAUUGAUGAAUAGCUGAGUGAGGAGGCCCUCUAGUCUCAAGUGUAUUUUUAACAGAGUGGCUCUCGGUAAACAUCUCUUUCUCAAAUGCCUCACCUCCUCCACAGAGUCUUUCUUUUCAGCUGCUACUUAAUCAGCUGCUGCCCCUUAGCACACUGACCUAAUUCUUAGCUACACAUUUUGUCUAGGCUUUUGAGGCAGUGCUUCCCAGUCACUCACUGCUCAUGUUAAAUCCACCUUGACCUGUGGCCUCUACCCUCAUCACCUGCCUUACAUCCCACGGUAGCAGAGGCCUUUGGCCAAAGCGACAGCCAAUGUAGCAGGAGUCUUAAGGUGCAAAAGCUGGAAGGAUGUGGUUAUUAUGGUCUCUAAACCAAGCACCACGAAGGCAAAGCCCCCAAUUUCAUGGGCUGCUGCCCCUCGCAACCAGGUUGAAUUUGACCUUUCUCAAGCUGCUUUCUAGGCCAAGUGCCUGUCGUGGCUCAGUGAUUAACGAAUCCGACUAGGAACCAUGAGGUUGCGGAUUUGAUCCCUGGCCUCACUCAGCGGGUUAAGGAUCUGGCCUUGCUGUGAGCUGUGGUGUGGGUCGCAGACGUGGCUCGGAUCCCGCAUUGCUGUGGCUCUGGCGUAGCUGGCAGCUACAUCUCCGAUUCAACCCCUGGCCUGGGCACCCCCAUAUGCUGCGGGUGCAGCCCUAGAAAAAGGCAAAAAGACAAAAAAAUAAAAUAAAAUAAAAUGGGGGUUCUCAUUGGGGAGGGGUCUGUCUCAUUGGGAUAGAGCCUAAGAUGCUGCAUUUCUAACAAGCUACCAGGGGAUGCCCAUGAUGCUGCUGGUGUGUGGACCAUAGUUUGGAGGAGUAAAUCUUUAAGCCCAUCACUUUGAAUGAUCUUGAAGGUGACACCAUCUAGUUCUUUAAUAAGUCCAAAUGCAAAGCAGGAGAGAAGCACUCCUUUGGAAGUAGAUGGCAGAGCUAAGACUCAAAUUCUUAGGAAUAACUUGUUACCUUCAGGCAACCAAGUGGGUUACUGGUAAAACUCAAGCCUUCUCAUCCUCCUUGGAUGAGAGAUCUUGGCCUCUGUCUCCAUGUCUGAUGGAGUAUGAUGGCAUUGGCUUAUCUCCCAGAAGCCCAGGGAACAUGCAACCAUGGCAUUUGUGAUCAGUACACAAGUGCUGUUUCAUCAGUCCCACAAGUAGAGAGACAUGGGGACAGCGUAUAAUUCAGUCUGCACCAGACUCUCCUUCAUGCUCCUAAAAAAAGCCUGGGUGCGUAACAAAUCAUCUCCCAGACCCAUUUCUGGAAGUCUGCACCACGCACCAACUCCCACUCGAUGCUGCUUGUCAUUAUCAACAGGUAGGAACAUCAGAUGUGCCCCAGCCCCAAGUCCCACCCCCUUGCCCAAAUUCCCAAGAGUUCGCUUACAAACCAGCAGUUACUGUGGGUCUGGGAGGCCCACAACAGUGACAGCCAUAUAAAUUCUUGCCAACAUGGGGUUGAGGCCGCAGCCCUGCACAUGGGCCAUCCUCUGGGUAUAAUCUCGAUCAAGUUUGUUCCACAAAUGCCGUGACAGCCUGGCCCUCCCUGUGUUCUGUUCAGCCUUAUUUGAUCUCGCUCUCCCUAUUUCCUGUGUGUAUAAUCCCCCCAGUAGCAAUCAGAUCUAAACAAAAACAUAAAGGAGAAAAUAAUUAAGAAAUAUAAUCUGACAGUAUAACAAAGCAGGAUGUUUAAGAGUCUGAUUGACUCCACUUUUUUAUUUGGACUAGAGGGAGGAGGAAGAAAAGCUUGGGAUGGCUGCUGGAGGAACAAAAGUGAAUUAGAAGGCUCUUAUUUUGCAACUGGUUUCCUGCGUCUGUGUUGGCUAAUGGAUUUAUGACGAACCUUGGCUCCAAUUUCCAGUUGGCAGUUGGGUUCAGGUGUUUGCCUGCUGUCUUCAGGGAUGCUGCAUAAACAGCUGUUAAGUAGAGCUAGUUAUUCAGUCUGCUCCGAGAAAGGUUAAAGUGUGGGUCUUCAGGCUUCCCCCACGGACUAAUCCAGUAACAGGAGAGUCAGAGAAAACACACACCUCUUGGGAGGGGGAUCCCUCGCUGGGAUUUUGGUUGUUAUUAUAGUUACAAAUGGAAGUGUUUGAAACUUAAAUCUGAAUUUAGGCAGCAGGAGGAGAAACAGGGAUAGAAAUGAAUUAUUUAUUCCAUCACUGGGGUCCCAGAAGCAUAGAGUGGGCGUUAAUCUCCUUCCAACAGGAGCCUCUGAGCAGGCUUGAGGUCUUCUGUAUGAGAUCUGACCUUAUCUACUCCUGGCCAGACACCUCAGCUUCGAUUAAUUUGCCUUGAGAAUAAUCCAAAUAAGGCCCUUUACUUUGCUGUUCAUAAGAUGUGAAUAUUUACCUAGCGUGUGGUCAGAGGAGCCAAAAGUGCUCGUGUCUGUGAUUUCUUUUAAUCCCAUAAUUUCCCAGUAGGUCUGAGGGGAGAGGGAGAAGCAGGCAGGAGCCGACUCGCACCGACGGUCUGCUGGGUGUGGGGGUCACGGCGUGGAGUUCCCCACAGCGCGUUCUUGCUGAAUGUGCACCAGCCAUGAAUCUGUGCAGGAUCCGGAAAGGGAGCUUCUACUGCUCCCAUUUCACUGAUGGGGGUUUAGCAUCUCACCCAAGUCACCCAGCCCUGAAUUAGCCUUGCUGGGAUUCAAGUCCAAGCUGCUGUCAGACCCUUGCCUUGCAUUCUUUCCAGUGCUGCAAGGUAUCAAUUACAGUGAAAACACUGACUACUUUUCUUCAGGCUCGUUCGGGGGUUAUAACCACCAGUAAAGACAGAACAAAGCCCAUUCCCCAUAAGUCACAACCUACUACUGUCCUGUCUCUCUUGCUGCAUUCCUAAAUAUUAGUAUGUGUAACUUCUCUUUUCUUUCCUGUCCCCUGCUCUUUAGUGAGCACCGUGAGUUUUAUUAAAUAUUUCCCUCAAGGUUUUCUGUGAGAUUUAGCUUAGUCUUCUUGCUGAAACAUUUUGGAGACCAUUGCCUGAAGCCAGAUAUGGCAGAUCUAGGUGCUUUCUAGCUUUCUGUCUUCAGUCCUCGAGGCAGGUCCCUGGUUCCAUGGUAGAGAGAGGGGAGGAGGGGCUGGGCACACGUCUUCCCUCCGUAGUUUUGAGGUCUCAAGGUCCCUGAACCAGAGAAGACAGAGGUGGGCCUUUGACAGUGAUCUGCACCUGCGUGGUUUCUGUGGACUUCAGAGCACCCCUUGUUUCUCUUCUGAUUCCAUCUGUCGAGUGUCUGUCCUGUGCUGGGUGUCCGAGAUUUGGAGGUCAUGUUAUUGGAUGACCAAGUGUUGCCUCCCUGAUGGGUACCUGAGCACAGGGAAGGGAGGGCUUGAAAGAGUAUCAGGUGGGGCCCUCUGGUACAUGUUUUCUGCUUUUGGCUGUUCACCCUACUUCACGGAACUUAAGAUCAAACUCCUGUUUCUUCCACAUGGCUCUUUCCUUUCUACCACACUAGCUCAAUCUGUGGAGCAGUUUUGUUCUUUUUUUUUGUCUUUUUGUCAUUUUAGGGCCACACCCACGGCAUAUGGAGUUUCCCAGGCUAGGGGUCAAAUUGGAGCUGUAGCUGCUGGCCUGUGCCACAGCCACAACACAGGAUCUAAGCCAUGUCUGUGACCUGCACCAUAGCUCAGGGCAACACAGGAUCCUUCACCCACUGAGCAAGGCCAGGGAUCGAACCCGCGUCCUCAUGGAUACUAGUCGGGUUCGUUAACUGCUGAGCCACGGCGGGAACACCAUUGCUGUUCUUUUCGUUGGCUCCUGAGUUUCACAUGAAGACAGGCUGAAAAACUUGACUGAGCCUCUUUGGUUUAUUAGGGGCUGGGUAUAUAGUAUGAAUAAGAUAGGCCCAGCCCUGGCUUUUGGAUGCUCAGUUUGGAGGGGAAGACAGCUGUCAAAUGUGUAAUUGCCCAGGCCGUGGAUGUGAGGCAGAAGCAACAGAGUACACCAGGGGAGUGCAGUGGGGGCUCCCUGCCCAGC
RNAcentral lists this long non-coding RNA (5053 nucleotides) under Sus scrofa (pig). RNAcentral describes it as "lncRNA (ENSSSCG00015068035.1)". Lineage: Eukaryota; Metazoa; Chordata; Mammalia; Artiodactyla; Suidae. The record is from RNAcentral.